GGAGCACCUGACCACUCCUCCCUUCUGCCGGCUCUCUGGGCGGGCCCGGGCCGGGGGCGGGCGCGGCGGCGGCGGAGGCGGCGGCGCUGAGGCACGACAGCUGCCGCGCGGCUUAAGACUAGGGCGGUGGCUCUGUUGGUCUGUCGGCUUUCGUCCUACGUAGCAGGGCGCGCGCGGCCGCGAUGAGCUGGAACCUGCUGCUCUGGCUGCUGGCGCUGUGCGCGCUGCUCGCUCUCGUGGUGCAGCUGCUACGCUUCCUGCGGGCCGACGGCGACCUGACCCUGCUGUGGGCCGAGUGGCAGGGGCGACGCCCAGAAUGGGAGCUGACUGAUAUGGUGGUGUGGGUGACUGGAGCAUCAAGUGGGAUUGGUGAAGAGCUGGCUUACCAGCUGUCCAAACUAGGAGUUUCUCUUGUGCUGUCAUCCAGAAGAGUGCAUGAGCUGGAAAGGGUGAAAAGAAGAUGCCUUGAGAACGGCAAUUUGAAAGGAAAAGAUAUACUCAUUUUGCCCCUUGACCUGACUAACAGAAGUUCCCAUGAAAUGGCUACCAAAGCGGUUCUCCAGGAGUUUGGCAAAAUUGACAUUCUGGUCAACAAUGGUGGAGUAUCCCAGCGUUCUUUGUGUGUGGACACCAGCCUGGACGUCUACAAGGAGCUAAUAGAGGUUAACUACUUAGGGACGGUGUCCUUGACAAAGUGUGUUCUGCCUCACAUGAUUGAGAGGAAGCAAGGAAAAAUUGUUACUGUGACUAGCCUCCUGGGUGUUAUAUCUGCACCCCUUUCUGCUGGAUAUUGUGCCAGCAAACAUGCUCUUCAGGGGUUUUUUAAUACCCUCCGAAUUGAACUUGCUACAUACCCAGGUAUAAUAGUUUCUAACAUUUGCCCAGGACCUGUGCAAUCAAAUAUUGUGAAGAAUGCCCUAACUGAAGAAGUCACCAAGACUACAGGCAGCAAUGCAGAUCAGUCCCACAAGAUGGCAGCCAGUCGUUGUGUGCAGCUGAUGUUAAUCAGCAUGGCCAAUGAUUUGAAGGAAGUUUGGAUCGCAGAUCAGCCUUUUUUGUUAAUGGCAUAUUUGUGGCAGUAUAUGCCAACCUGGGCCUGGUGGAUAACCGACAAAUUAGGGAAGAAAAGGAUUGAGAACUUUAAGAAUGGUGUGGACUUGGUGUACCUCAGCCCUGUGCCUACCUCCGUCAAAGCACUUCCACACUAUUAAAAGAGAUGCACUCUUACACGUAGUGCUGGUUCCUUUGACUUUGUUCCAGAAGCACUUUGCACAUCUGAGAUGUGUCUAGGAAAAUAUGCUGAUCGCUCAUUCUUUCAGCACUCAUUCUUCCAGAAAAGAUGCAGAUUCCUCUUAUUUUAAAAUCUGGAAGACAAAAUAUCAGUGAAGGAGUACUUGCAUUUUUCAAGCCAAUGGAAAGAGAAACGGAAAACGUAACAACAGCAAUUUUCUUAUGCACUGAAGACUUAUUUGUGAUUUUACUUCUUAAUAGAUACAACUUUCCUUUCAAUGUGUAAUAAAUAAGAUUGCCAGGAGUCUUGCAAUAAGGGUAUUAAUACAUACUACAUUCCUGGAUUAAAGAGCAUUUUAACAUACUCUAGCAUGUAUGCUUAAAAUCUAGGUUAGCAGAAUGCCAACCAAAGAAUUACAGUAAUCCAUUUAGCAUAAAUGCAUGGAAUAUUACGUGAAGCAGAGUGCUGGGGAAUGGGCAGAUAUAAAGAAGUGUCUGAAAUGGCAUGCUUCCAAGGUGCUUACACUCUCUUGGAAGAGUUGACAGGUACAAAUGACUGGAAUUUGAAGCUGUAGGUAGGACUCAUAGCAGCCAUAAUUUAUUAAAAAUCUAUUAUAUGUCA
RNA transcript from Lagenorhynchus albirostris (white-beaked dolphin), 1852 nucleotides. It is a transcript of the gene named dehydrogenase/reductase 7, with no coding region annotated. The record is from RefSeq and is a predicted model, not a curated record. Lineage: Eukaryota; Metazoa; Chordata; Mammalia; Artiodactyla; Delphinidae. The transcript has 8 exons.